GGGCUUGUUUUGGAUGGUUUGACGUGAGAGAUGCGAAUAUUUAGUAUUAUUUGAUUUGGUGUUAGGGAUACAGAAUUCCUAAAUGUUUAAUAAGACGGAAAGACCCUGGGAUCUUUUUUUUUCGCUUGGGGCAAGUUUCAUUAUUUCAAUGAAAUUAGGAUCUUAAGUAUAGAUUAUUGGGUUAAGUUACCCCAGGGAUAACAGUGUGAUAAUUAAUAAGAGAUCUUAUCGAAUUAAUUGUUUGCCACCUCGAUGUUGACUUAGGUUAGAAUUUAGGUGGUAGUAGC
Molecule: ribosomal RNA, 287 nt
Filed under: Taenia solium (pork tapeworm)
Lineage: Eukaryota; Metazoa; Platyhelminthes; Cestoda; Cyclophyllidea; Taeniidae
Description: partial large subunit ribosomal RNA
Source: RNAcentral